Molecule: ribosomal RNA, 427 nt
Filed under: uncultured bacterium
Lineage: Bacteria
Description: bacterial SSU rRNA
Rfam family: Bacterial small subunit ribosomal RNA
Source: RNAcentral
UGGGGAAUAUCGGACAAUGGGCGAAAGCCUGAUCCAGCCAUGCCGCGUGUGUGAAGAAGGUCUUCGGAUUGUAAAGCACUUUAAGUUGGGAGGAAGGGCAUUAACCUAAUACGUUGGUGUCUUGACGUUACCGACAGAAUAAGCACCGGCUAACUACGUGCCAGCAGCCGCGGUAAUACGUAGGGUGCGAGCGUUAAUCGGAAUUACUGGGCGUAAAGCGCGCGUAGGUGGUUAGUUAAGUAGGAUGUGAAAUCCCCGGGCUCAACCCGGGAACUGCAUUCAAAACUGACUGACUAGAGUAUGGUAGAGGGUGGUGGAAUUUCCUGUGUAGCGGUGAAAUGCGUAGAUAUAGGAAGGAACACCAGUGGCGAAGGCGACCACCUGGACUGAUACUGACACUGAGGUGCGAAAGCGUGGGGAGCAAACA